UAAAAAGUAAGCUAAUUAAAGCUUUUGGGUUCAUACCUCAAAUAUAGACAUUGUCUCUUUUUAA
Molecule: transfer RNA, 64 nt
Filed under: Anomopsocus amabilis
Lineage: Eukaryota; Metazoa; Arthropoda; Insecta; Psocodea; Lachesillidae
Description: tRNA-Met
Source: RNAcentral